GAUGAACGCUGGCGGCGUGCCUAACACAUGCAAGUCGAGCGGAGAAUUGUUGCUUGCAACCCUUCUUAGCGGCGGACGGGUGAGUAACACGUGGGUAACCUGCCCUAAACAAAGGGAUAACAAUGAGAAAUCAUUGCUAAUACCGUAUAAGCUUACACUAUCGCAUGAUAGAGUAAGAAAAGAUUUAUCGGUUUAGGAGGGGCCCGCGUCUGAUUAGCUAGUUGUAGAGGUAACGGCUCACCAAGGCGACGAUCAGUAGCCGACCUGAGAGGGUGAUCGGCCACAUUGGGACUGAGACACGGCCCAAACUCCUACGGGAGGCAGCAGUGGGGAAUAUUGCACAAUGGAGGAAACUCUGAUGCAGCAACGCCGCGUGAAGGAAGAAGGUUUUCGGAGCGUAAACUUCUAUCUACAGGGAAGAAAAAAAUGACGGUACCUGAGUAAGAAGCCCCGGCUAACUACGUG
This 465-nucleotide ribosomal RNA is filed under the name uncultured bacterium. RNAcentral's name for it is "partial 16S ribosomal RNA". It matches the Rfam family "Bacterial small subunit ribosomal RNA", at positions 28 to 507 of the family's 1533-position model. The record is from RNAcentral.